This 493-nucleotide ribosomal RNA is filed under the name uncultured soil bacterium. RNAcentral describes it as "bacterial SSU rRNA". It matches the Rfam family "Bacterial small subunit ribosomal RNA", at positions 26 to 518 of the family's 1533-position model. The record is from RNAcentral.
AGAUUGAACGCUGGCGGCAGGCCUAACACAUGCAAGUCGAGCGGUAGAGAGGUGCUUGCAUCUCUUGAGAGCGGCGGACGGGUGAGUAAUGCCUAGGAAUCUGCCUAGUGGUGGGGGAUAACGUUCGGAAACGGACGCUAAUACCGCAUACGUCCUACGGGAGAAAGCGGGGGACCUUCGGGCCUCGCGCCAUUAGAUGAGCCUAGGUCGGAUUAGCUAGUUGGUGAGGUAAUGGCUCACCAAGGCGACGAUCCGUAACUGGUCUGAGAGGAUGAUCAGUCACACUGGAACUGAGACACGGUCCAGACUCCUACGGGAGGCAGCAGUGGGGAAUAUUGGACAAUGGGCGAAAGCCUGAUCCAGCCAUGCCGCGUGUGUGAAGAAGGUCUUCGGAUUGUAAAGCACUUUAAGUUGGAGGAAGGUUGUAACCUAAUACGUUGCAACUUUGACGUUACGACAGAAUAAGCACCGGCUAACUCGUGCCAGCAGCCGA